GCGGGAGUAACUCAGUGGUUAGAGUUCCUGCCUUCCAAGCAGGGUGUCGCGGGUUCGAAUCCCGUCUCCCGCUCCA
RNAcentral lists this transfer RNA (76 nucleotides) under Chloroflexi bacterium RBG_13_51_36. Its description in RNAcentral is "tRNA-Gly". It matches the Rfam family "tRNA". Rfam says of the family: Transfer RNA (tRNA) molecules are approximately 80 nucleotides in length. Their secondary structure includes four short double-helical elements and three loops (D, anti-codon, and T loops). RNAcentral also lists the same sequence under 2 other names. Lineage: Bacteria; Bacillati; Chloroflexota. The record is from RNAcentral.